This 253-nucleotide ribosomal RNA is filed under the name uncultured bacterium. Its description in RNAcentral is "partial 16S ribosomal RNA". It matches the Rfam family "Bacterial small subunit ribosomal RNA", at positions 524 to 776 of the family's 1533-position model. The record is from RNAcentral.
GACGUAGGGCGCAAGCGUUGUCCGGAUUUAUUGGGCGUAAAGAGCUCGUAGGCGGCUCGUUGCGUCGGCUGUGAAAACCCGCAGCUCAACUGUGGGCUUGCAGCCGAUACGGGCGGGCUGGAGUUCGGUAGGGGAGACUGGAAUUCCUGGUGUAGCGGUGAGAUGCGCAGAUAUCAGGAGGAACACCGGUGGCGAAGGCGGGUCUCUGGGCCGAUACUGACGCUGAGGAGCGAAAGCGUGGGGAGCGAACAGG